Molecule: long non-coding RNA, 5816 nt
Filed under: Homarus americanus (American lobster)
Lineage: Eukaryota; Metazoa; Arthropoda; Malacostraca; Decapoda; Nephropidae
Description: uncharacterized LOC121858882, transcript variant X20
Source: RNAcentral
AAUUUUUUUCCGAAUGUCUACAGUCAAUAUGGCCAAGAGAAAUGGUUAUUCUUUUGGUUAGUGUUUAUAUGUACUUAAUUAUGGCGUAAUAAAUGCUGAUUUAAGUAACAAACUUACCAGCCGGUUGUUGCAGUUCACUUGGCUUCUAGAGACGUAUCCCCAAGUUUCACUGGGCCGUAAGGCCUAUGAUACCUACUUUGCAGCUUAAACAAAUACAUUAAUAUGGGUUAGUAUUAUAUUAAAUGUUUCUCUAACGUCUAACCAGUAAUUUAUUAACGUUUUAAAACUUUUAGGGCAAGUAUACCGCCAAAUGAGCCAUAACAACCGAGCCGAAACUAUAAACCGGUGGCGAGUAACAAGCGUAAACCGCACAUCAGUAUUUGCGUUAUAAUUAACCAGUAAGUGAGUGCAAUGACGAGAUUGGGUGAAAUUAUUGUAUUUAUUUUUUUAAUUUCACAUUUUCCCUCUUGCUUCGAAGCCCAGCCCACUUUUGGCGGAGCCGGGUGGUCGUAACUCAAUAGUUACGCAUUUCAUCUAACGUUCAUCACCAAAAUAUAACUGUUUUGUGGAAUUACGAUACAAUAUUUUUCACUGGCUAGUUCUUUGCUUCCUCUUUAACUAGGAUUUCUGGGAGUUGAAACCGAAUUUAUUACGGGUUUUAGCCGGGCGAAGCGAGGCAUGCUAGGCGAGGCAGGCAAGAAGCCAGACAGGAAGCGAAGCGAGGCGAGUUGAGGUAGGGAGCCGGGCGAGGCAAGGGAGCCGGCGGAGGGCGAGGUUGAGGGGUUUCAGAAUAUUUGUACAGUGUAUAUUAAAUUUUUAAAAGUGGACAACCAUGGAUUUUAGCAUCGGAAAAACACAUUGGUCAACAACCAAAAAGCACCAAAACUAAACUAACGUAACGUAGCCUAACAACGUAACAUAGCCUAACCUGGAGGUUCGUUGGUUGUCUGCUUGUAAAAAAAAAAUACCGGGUUCCUAAAAUAAAUGUUAAGAUGUAUAUAAAGACACCGUUAAAAUGUAUUGGUAAAUAAGGCCGUAACCAUCUAAUUAACCUCUGGAAAAUGUUAAAAUGUUUGGCUCGCCUGAAGAUUCAUCCCCCAGCUUAUUUCAACUGAAGAUCAAUUUAACCUAAGCCAAUCUACGUAUUACAAUGUGUUGGCGAAUCUUUCUUUUUCAGAUCAUGGAAUGACUGCAGAUUCAACUACAGUACAAAACCCUCUGUUAUUGGUGUGGUGCAGUAUGUGGUCAGUGUGGUGCAGUAUGAGGACACAAGUGAAGUGUGGAGCAGUAUGUGGGGACAACAGACCACGAGUGAAGCUUCUCACAAUACACAACGGUGUUCCUUCAGGUAACAGCUGAUGUACGUGAAGGCCAAUGGAGAAGUGACAGAACCUCGAGCAAGAUUUAACUACCAGCAUGUUACUUCAGCCUCAUCAGUUAAGUUACUUGUACAGUAUAUCUUAGCUAGUAUCUUUAUCCAAUAAACCACUCGACACUGCUCCUACACUGGGCAGUGGAGGGUGUGUGGGGGGUGCCUUGCUGACUGUUUGAGGCCUAAUAGGUCUGUGUGUAGACCUAGUGAUCAGUGUGUGAGGCCUGGCGGACACUCUUGGAGGACUGUGUUGGAGGGCUAUGGAGGACGAUCUGUAGACAGACUGAUAUUAGAGUAAAAUUAAUAUUAGUUGUAGUGACAGUAGAAAUAUACAGAACUGUAUGCCUAUUGAUUAUUAGUGAAAAUUAGUAGCAGUAGUAAACAUAGUGACAGCUGAUGUAUGUGAAGCCCAAUGGAGAAGUGACAGAACCUUGAGCAACAUUUAACACCCAGCAUGUUACUUCAGCCUCAUCAGUUAAGUUACUUAUAUAUAUCUUGGCUAUUAUGGUCAUCCCAUAAACUACUCAACACCGUGCUUCUACACUCGGCAGUGGAGGGUGUGUGGGGGGCCUGGCUGACUGUGUGAUGGAGGGUUCUGGAGGACUGUGUGUGAAGGAGGGCUCUGGAGGACUGUGAUGGAGGGCUCUGGAGGACUGUGUGUGAAGGAGGGCUCGUGAGUACUGAGUGGACAGAUUGGUCUUCGAGUAAAAUUAAUAUUAGUUGUAGUGACAGUAUAAAUAUACAGGACUACAUGCCUAUUGGUUAUUAGAGAAAAUUAGUAGUAGUAGUGGUAGUAGUAGUAAAUACAGCAAGUAAAGCAAGUUGUUGUGGGUGGGUUUCAACUAACUUUACUAACCUAACUUAACCAGCCUAAGUUAAUUAAACGUAAUAACGUAGACUGAAGCAAAUCCGUAAUAAGGUCACCGCGACCCCUAGCUGGGGACGUCAAAGGCUCGGUCGGAUUGGUACACCGUCAAUGACUCAGCUCAUCUUGGAGGGAGGGGGGGGGUGGCGAGCUACCUCCGGUGUCCUGGCUGAACUGCGAGAGGGGCAACCACUGGUGUCCUGCCUUCCUGCGAGAUGGUCGUUGAUCUACCCGACCCGUCUUGGGACAACAACCACGGAGUCUAGCAUGUGUAGGAGUCGAUGGGGUCACUGAGCCCGAAGGCGAGAUGAAGGUAACGGGCGCCUGGUGCGUCUUGGGCAGAUCCUCAACUGGCUGCCUCUGGCCGUGCACGUGUGGCGUUUGCGUGGUUGAGACCCUUUCCCCCCACUGGGAAAAGGGCCUUCCCCCGCGCAUGACCACGUGAGUGCACAUGUCGCUGCGUUUCUCUGGGUGCACACGUCGCCACCUCAGCUUGUUUGCAGCUGGGUGGGUGGAGCGGCCCAAAAAGCUCCCAUCUCGCCUCCCUAUUUUCCCUUCCUUCAUAUCUUUGAGUUAUAUAUAAAAAUAAGUGUUUUUAUGUCUACUUAAAUAAAUUAUAUACAAUAUGCCUAUAUGCCUAUCGAUUGAUUUUUAUCCUAAGAGUUAUCUGAUAAAAAUGUGAAUUUAUUAGGAAGGUACUGGUAUGGAGGGUAGGACAUGGAACACUAUGAAUUAGUGCUUUAUUUGUAGUAAUAAUUAUAUAAACAAAAUGACAACUCAUAAUUUAUGGUUAAGUGAAAAAAAAUUGUAGCUGUCGUAUUUAAUAUUUGGUUAGGUAGGUUAAGUUAAAGUUAGGGUAGGUGAGGUUAGGUGAGGCUAGGCUAGGUUAUUUCCAUGUUUUGUGCCAGUUAUUCACUGGCAAUGGGGGGGCAAUUGUACAUGAACCAAGCUGUGCAGCUUUUUACAACCAUGACAUUGCAGGUGUGACUAGCCUACAGUAUUUUAGGCCUACUUCAAAAUGUUUUUUCUGUGUUUUCGAUCAACUGAUAACUAUAAAAACAGAGAUAUAGAAGACCGAAAGCUUAAAAAGACAGGUGGUGGUCCACGAGAAAAAAAUAUUAAAAGCUUCAGAAGAAACUGCCUUAACAGCAUCACUGAUGAGGGCCGAGUUAGCAGUGGCUGGUGAUUUUUACGAGACCUUCCGCAGUCACCCAGUAGAUGAAGAAAUAAUUCCUUAUAGAAUGUGCAGAUAGGUGAGAAUAUUUAUUGAUUUAUACAGUUGUAUGCAUUCUCAUUGAUACCAUUGCUCAAUCGCCUUUGGCUGUGUAAAAAUCAAACGGCAGCAGUGACCUACCUUAUACUGACUUUUUGCAGUUUUGCCUGUUCCAACCCCAGGGCCAUCAACUGUGCUCACCAGUCAUUGUUCCUGCCUCGACAGUGAAUGCUCCUACCUCACCAGUGAAUGCUCCUGCCUCGCCAGUCAUUGUUGCUUCACCAGUCAUUGUUCCUGCCUCACCAGUCCUUGCUCCUGCCUCACCAACACUGGAGCAGGUUCAGAUAUGACUGUAGCCUACAGUAUUUAAGGCCUACUUCAAAAAAUGUUUUGUUUGUUUGUUUUCGAUCUACUGAUGUAAGUGCACAACAGCAUCGUAAAGUAUAACCAUGUUUUUGUACUCCAUUUUUAUGGCAAAUUUACAUUUUUUAAACUAUAUACACUCUUUGAAUAUUACUGUAUUGUAAAAUCCUACAAAACCGUCAUAUAUUUCUUUUGUGAUGCAUAUAUGUACAGUAAAUGAUAUUAGUCUGUUCUGCAUCCCCUUUGGCCAUAGGCAUUGGUGAUGAAAGCAUUAUAAAAGCCAAUGCUGCUGCUAUUGUUAUACAGCAUUAAUUUCUUCUGUUUCUUUCAGAACUAUAAAAACAGAGAUAUAGAAGACCGAAAGCUUAAAAAGACAGGUGGUGGUCCACGAGAAAAAAAUAUUAAAAGCUUCAGAAGAAACUGCCUUAACAGCAUCACUGAUGAGGGCCGAGUUAGCAGUGGCUGGUGAUUUUUACGAGACCUUCCGCAGUCACCCAGUAGAUGAAGAAAUAAUUCCUUAUAGAAUGUGCAGAUAGAUAUGACUGUAGCCUACAGUAUUUAAGGCCUACUUCAAAAAAUGUUUUGUUUGUUUGUUUUCGAUCUACUGAUGUAAGUGCACAACAGCAUCGUAAAGUAUAACCAUGUUUCUGUACUCAAUUUUUAAUGGCAAAUUUACAGGUUUUAAAACUGUCUACAGGCCCUUUAAAUAUUGCUGUAUUGUAAAAUUCUACAAAACCGUCAUAUAUUUCUUUUGUGAUGCAUAUAUGUACAGUAAAUGAUAUUAGUCUGUUCUGCAUCCCCUUUGCUCAUAGGCAUUGGUGAUGAAAGCAUUAUACAAGCCAAUGCUGUUGCUAUUGCUAUACAGCAUUAAUUUCUUCUCUUUCUUUCAGAAAUAUAAAAACAGAGAUAUAAAAGACCGAAAACUUGAGGGCCGAGUUAGCAGUGGCUGAUGAUUUUUACGAGACUUUCCGCAAUCACCCAGUAGAUGAAGAAAUAAUUCCUUGUGGAAUGUGCAAGUAGUUUUCCCUGUUCCAACCCUAGGGCCAUCAACUAUGCCUCACCAGUCAUUGUUCCUGCCUCACCAGUGAAUGCUCCUGCCUCACCAGUCAGUUUUCCUGCCUCACCAGUCAUUGUUUCUGCCAGGGCCGGCGCCAGCCUAUUUGGCGCCCUUAGCAGGACUGCAGCUGGCGUCCCCACCCGCCUCCCACUUCACGAUUGGGUUUGCCCACAAAGUAAUCCAGAAUCUACUGGGUGUAAUCGACAGCUCAGGCAGAGCUGUUGGGUGAGUGGAACUCGAAGCUGAUCGAGGGAGGAGUAGUGCGGGGCACUGACGCUCUCAGGCAUCAGUCCAGCGUCUGAAACUCCUCCACGCACAGGUUCCUCUUGGCCAAGAGCCUUGUAGAUUGGGACGACCUCCACACUAAUUUGGGAGAUGGAUGAAGGCCAGUGAACUCGGGUAAAUUCGUGAACACGAGCGUCAGGAACUAACCACCUCCUCUGGGAUCCAGUCAACUGGUCAGCCGUUCAAUGUCCAGUUUGUUGAUAUCACAGGCAGAGCAAACAGUGCCAGCCCCCUUCAUUGUUAUGGGUGAGUCCACUACUCAGUAGGGGUAUAUGGUGGCUGUGUUAUUCCUCUGAAUACACCUGUAUGUAUUCACCUGAAUUGUCUGAGUGUUUGGAGUCAGCAAGAGUAGGUUGACCAUCAGUUUGUGCGUGGGCAAAGGUACCAUAGUGGUGAAGAGAAGCUACUAAUUCUGGUGAUGUUAAAGUAUUAGUGUUGGUGCUGUAACUGGCAUCAUUGCCACUUGUAAUAGUGCUCAAAGGUGCUAUGUAAGAGUAUUGUGUGUGUUCUUGUACAUGUAAGUGGAAAAUGUACCUAAGUUUAACAGUACCAAAUAAGUAAAGCCAGGGAGUUGACCCCCAUCAUUCUCUCCCAUUGCUUGAUAUCAGAAUUACAGUGUACCCAUGUCAUAACCCCCGAGCCACAAUACCAAAGAUCAAGA